This is a non-coding RNA of Paramuricea clavata, 776 nucleotides long. The record is from the annotation of a GenBank genome assembly. Lineage: Eukaryota; Metazoa; Cnidaria; Anthozoa; Malacalcyonacea; Plexauridae.
CACUGUAUGUGAAAAAGAAAAUAUACUAUAUGAUAUACGUUAAUUUACUAUUUACAUUCAUGCUUUAAUAACAAUGGGUACCGAUUUUCCUUUCGAAAAUUGAUAGCGUUUUGCUUUCUCUAAUAAUUUCUGGCAAAGAGUUCCAUAUGACAGGUCCGUCAUACAUGAAACUCUUUUUUAAACUGUUCGAACGUGGCUUUGGCAACCGUAAUGUGGUUGAGCUGUCACGGAGAUUAUGAUUUAAUAUUUCAUUUUUUUUGAAAAUGAAUAAGUCUUUGAGGCAAUUUGGCCCCAUAUUAUGAAAUAUCUUAAACAUCGUUAUCGCUUUAGUUUUUAAUCGUUGUUCUUUUAAUGUUUUCCAUCCUAAUAAAUCCAAUACAGUUUGCUGAUCAACAUCGUUCGGUACACUUGCUAUGAUGCGAGCUGCUCUGUUUUGAAGCUUUUGCAGACGUUUAGAUUGGGUUUCGCCAAAUACAUCCCAUACAUCACAACAAUAACUGAAAUAGGGUUGGAUCAAAGCAUUGUAUACCGAUAUGAGUGUUUUAAUAUCAACAAACGUUUUAAUUUCUUUGAGGGCAUAUAUCCCAGAUGAUAUUUUACUACAUAUACUCUCAGUGUUACUUUUCCAAGAAAGAUUUUCAACCUCUGAGGCUUCAAUUUGUAAAAUACGCUACAAAAAGAUGCUGCGACACACUGAUUUUGGCCACUAAAUCUUUCAACAUGGGCGUUUGAAUUUUGAAGACGAACCGAGUUUAAUUAUUAAAUAUAUCAUAGUC